CUCUUAUCCAGAGUGGUGGAGGGACGGGCCCAAUGAAACCCGGCAACCGGUCCUAAGUAGGGCGAGGUGCCAAUUCCCGCAGAAUAAUGGAUUCUGGGAGAUAAGAG
This 107-nucleotide non-coding RNA is filed under the name Syntrophaceticus schinkii. RNAcentral's name for it is "SAM-I sequence". It matches the Rfam family "SAM riboswitch aptamer (S box leader)". Rfam says of the family: The SAM riboswitch is found upstream of a number of genes which code for proteins involved in methionine or cysteine biosynthesis in Gram-positive bacteria. The SAM riboswitch acts at the level of transcription termination control. Lineage: Bacteria; Bacillati; Bacillota; Clostridia; Thermoanaerobacterales; Thermoanaerobacterales Family III. Incertae Sedis. The record is from Rfam by way of RNAcentral.